RNAcentral lists this ribosomal RNA (484 nucleotides) under uncultured bacterium. Its description in RNAcentral is "partial 16S ribosomal RNA". It matches the Rfam family "Bacterial small subunit ribosomal RNA", at positions 30 to 507 of the family's 1533-position model. The record is from RNAcentral.
AUUGAACGCUGGCGGAAUGCUUUACACAUGCAAGUCGAGCGGCAGCACGGGGGCAACCCUGGUGGCGAGCGGCGAACGGGUGAGUAAUUCAUCGGAACAUGCCCAGUCGUGGGGGAUAACACUUCGAAAGAAGUGCUAAUACCGCAUACGUCCUGAGGGAGAAAGCGGGGGAUCGCAAGACCUCGCGCGAUUGGAGUGGCCGAUGUCAGAUUAGCUAGUUGGUGGGGUAAAGGCCUACCAAGGCAACGAUCUGUAGCUGGUCUGAGAGGAUGAUCAGCCACACUGGGACUGAGACACGGCCCAGACUCCUACGGGAGGCAGCAGUGGGGAAUUUUGGACAAUGGGGGCAACCCUGAUCCAGCCAUUCCGCGUGAGUGAAGAAGGCCUUCGGGUUGUAAAGCUCUUUCGGCAGGAACGAAACGGCGAGCUCUAACAUAGCUUGCUAAUGACGGUACCUGAAGAAGAAGCACCGGCUAACUACGUG